RNAcentral lists this unclassified non-coding RNA (205 nucleotides) under Hevea brasiliensis (rubber tree). The record is from RNAcentral. Lineage: Eukaryota; Viridiplantae; Streptophyta; Magnoliopsida; Malpighiales; Euphorbiaceae.
GAGUGAGAGUAACAUGUAUCCUAAAUCUAAACAAAUCGAUGGUGUGCGUCUUGCCAGAUUAAUCUGGCCUAAGUGUGUUUCCUUUCUGUACAUUAUCGUUUAUCAACCUCGAGAACUCCAUUACAUGAGCUAUUUGGAUUGAUAUGAUGUCGUAAUGGUCUUUGAACACAAUUUGCACCUGGUUUUUAUCAUAUGUGAAUAUUUG